RNAcentral lists this transfer RNA (73 nucleotides) under Actinomycetota bacterium. RNAcentral describes it as "tRNA-Arg". It matches the Rfam family "tRNA". From Rfam's summary of the family: Transfer RNA (tRNA) molecules are approximately 80 nucleotides in length. Their secondary structure includes four short double-helical elements and three loops (D, anti-codon, and T loops). Lineage: Bacteria; Bacillati; Actinomycetota. The record is from RNAcentral.
GCCCUCGUAGCUCAGUGGAUAGAGCACUGCUCUCCUAAAGCCGGUGUCGUUGGUUCGAUUCCAAUCGAGGGCA